CAGCUUUCACCUUUAUUGGUAUGAGUUGAGGGGAAAAUGUCUUUAUCACUGGUGCCUGAGUCCCAUCAUAGUCAUUAUUCCUCUGGAUUAAGACUUGAUUCUCUCUUAAAAUGGAGGUGCUCUUGGGAGGGAUAACCCGUCACAUUUCUAUUUCUUAGUGUGAAUGAAGUUAUGCAAUCCAGCAGCAAGUGAUGAAUUUUGGUGGUAAUGCCCUGGGCACCCAGAAAAGAAAAUGACAUGCAAACUGGGGUGGGCGGCAACAAUGAGAUUCUGUGACUCUACAGGCUUAUGGAGAGCUCGUCCCACUUUCUAAUCCACCUCCUUUGUUUGGUGUUUUGGAUUUUGGAAUUUGGAAUUUUGGAACCAGAAGAUCUGAUCCAGCUUUGGCUCUGUCACCCGUGUGGCCCUGGGUAAAGCCUCUUGGAAGGGUUGAAGACAAUACCUGUGGUAGCUGCUGAUGAGGUGGUUGUAAAGAGCCAGUGAGAUAAUAUGUGGGAAAGUUCAACCACACAGAUUCUACUCCUAAGGAAUCUGUUACGCCGAGUGCAACUGACUUCACUGUUGGAAGGCUAUGCCUCUUCUCUGUGUGCCAGUCAAUUCAGCAUCAGUGUCCCCUGCAUGAUCUGCCAAGCAGAAUCAGACCGUGACAAAUCUUAACCACUUUAUCGACCUGAGAGAUGAUCCUGGAUGGUAUAUUAAGUGACUAAGGUUUAGAAGUUACCAAACACCCACACUGAGUUUUAAAGACUUCCUUUGAAAGGGAUGGGCUCUACAAUGCACUUUUAAAAACUUCAAAUUCCUAAUUAUGAUCUACAAAGUCCUGAACAGUCUGACAUUUACUCAUCUCUCCAAACUGAUCUCAAUCUGCUCUCCCUCUGGCUCGCUCGUUCUAGCAUCAUUGGCUUUUUUUUCCUCUUCCUGGAGCAUACCAACUGAUCUUCCGGGGGCUUUGAGAAUACCAUUCUCUUUGUCAGGAACAUUCUCUUGGCCACCACAACUGCUUCCUUGCUAAUAUCACCUCCCAGAUGACUGCCAGCCUAGGAGCUCUCCGAGUUGUUCCACAUGAAGAACACACUCAGCUUUUGGUCUAUAGCUCCCAGCCCGGGUGGUUCUGGACACUGCUGAACCAUCCCCCCUUCCAAGAAGAGUUCUCUGCAGCAGGUGAAGUCCUUCUCAGGAGGUCAGAGCCCUCGGUCAUCUGGCAAUUUCAUAGGAUUGAAUAUAUUUGCUCCCUGACAUGAACUUGGUGGUUUUUUUCUAGUUCUUAAAUGACAGGGUGUCAACUGGAGGCUGAGAUGUAGGUGAAAUUACCUUCAACUCUCUAAUAACUGGGCCUGUGGAAAGUGAAAACCAAGAUUUCUGCUACAUCUCCCUAGGGUGGACUAAUCAUAUGUCGUUCUCCGAGCCUCUGCUGCCUCCUUGGCUUUCCACUUCCUCUUGGGUUGUCUGGGUCAUCCCAUGUCAUAGCUGCUUUAGUUUCCACUUCAAAAAAUCACUUGCACGAGUAUGUGUGAGUCUUAACUGAAGAGGGCCUUGGGAGGUGAAGAAGGAUGUCAGGUGAGAGGUGACAGCUCAAAAUGCAGCCCCUCUCAGUGGCACUCAUUUCUCAAUCCUUCUACUCUCUGCUCUUUGGUGGGUUUUCCAAGGAGGUCCAAUGACUGCUCUUUUUGUUUGCAGAGCAUUUCAGCCAUUUUCUCUUGAGCCUUGGUGCUAGCCUUCAUGGAGGUCCUUGUGGCGGGGGGUGGGCUUGGGGGGUGGCCUGAGGAGAAGGGGAGGUGAGCUUCUUCCCCAGGUUGUUUUCAAAUUAUUUUUCCAAAGGGGAACAGUGCCCUUCCUAAGACAAAUUUUGGUGCAAGCCAUAGGUUAAUAUUUUGUCAACCUCACUAUGAUGAUUUUAACUCAAUUACUGGUAUCCUUGAAAGAAUAGCUACUCAUGCCUAUAUUAUGCUCCAUUCACAACCUUGAUCUCGAUACACAGAAGUGGCUGGUUGGGGAAAGGAAGAAAGUUGAGAAUGUUCUUUAGUAGGAAAAAUGUGCACUCCAAAAGUAUUCUUAUUAAAGCAAAUAAUACAACGAAAAGAAAAAUCCAAUCAGUUUAGAUGGGCACAUAAUCAUAACGAAAUAUCUCAUUACUUCUUUUCCUCCCCUCCUCUCCCACCUGUUCUCCAGAGGCAGCCACUUUUGGCCGUUUCUGCUUUGAGUUCUUCUGCUGGUUACAAUCAUAACUUCCCUGUGUGAGAAGGAUGACUCAGCUCUGAGCACAAGGGCGGGCCAUGUAAACUGGAAGACUUAACUUGAAACGUGUGAGCAGGAAGUCAGGUUAGAGCCACUUAAAAUGCCGAAAAAGGAUGGGCCUUUCACUGUUGGUUACCUCCUCACAUCCGGUAAUUCUUAGCCCAGCACCAUCAGCAUC
Long non-coding RNA from Equus asinus (donkey), 2413 nucleotides. The record is from Ensembl. NCBI's taxonomy places the organism in Eukaryota, Metazoa, Chordata, Mammalia, Perissodactyla, Equidae.